RNAcentral lists this ribosomal RNA (456 nucleotides) under uncultured bacterium. Its description in RNAcentral is "bacterial SSU rRNA". It matches the Rfam family "Bacterial small subunit ribosomal RNA", at positions 340 to 786 of the family's 1533-position model. The record is from RNAcentral.
UACGGGAGGCAGCAGUGGGGAAUAUUGCACAAUGGGCGAAAGCCUGAUGCAGCUAUGCCGCGUGUAUGAAGAAGGCCUUAGGGUUGUAAAGUACUUUCAGCGGGGAGGAAGGCGAUGCGGUUAAUAACCGCGUCGAUUGACGUUACCCGCAGAAGAAGCACCGGCUAACUCCGUGCCAGCAGCCGCGGUAAUACGGAGGGUGCAAGCGUUAAUCGGAAUUACUGGGCGUAAAGCGCACGCAGGCGGUCUGUUAAGUCAGAUGUGAAAUCCCCCGGGCUUAACCUGGGAACUGCAUUUUGAAACUGGCAGGCUUGAGUCUUGUAGAGGGGGUUAGAAUUCCAGGUGUAGCGGUGAAAUGCGUAGAGAUCUGGAGGAAUACCGGGUGGCGAAGGCGGCCCCUGGGACAAGACUGACGCUCAGGUGCGAAAGCGUGGGGAGCAAACAGGAUUAGAUACC